CAUUCGACAAAUAUUUGAGGCUCUGAUAACACUAAAUGGAAACUGCUCUUCAUUGUGGGCUGUGUGGCUUUCCAGGUCUCACCAUUGCUGACCUCAUUCAGUCCUCACGUUAACCCUCUGAGGAUGAGCUGGUGGAAGCGGUCCACGUGCUCGAAGCUGGCCUUGUCGGUGACAGAGUAGACGAUGAGGAAGCCAUCCCCCGUGCGCAUGUACUGCUCCCGCAUGGCACUGAAUUCCUCCUGCCCAGCUGUGUCCAGAACUGGGGUGGAAUGAGGCUACUCACGGGCUGUCCUCGCCCACCCUGCCGCCCCUACAGCCUGCAGACUCUCAUGCUGCUGCUGCUGUCCUUACCAUGGCCCAGUCUGAGCUGUCCUGUGAGCGGCAGCACAGGCUCUCUCUCUGGGGCUACUCGAAGGGCCCCAGCUGAAGCCCCCCCAUUAAAGGCUGCUUCAGGGUGAGGCUCUAACUCACCCACCAAA
Long non-coding RNA from Sapajus apella (tufted capuchin), 479 nucleotides. RefSeq lists it as uncharacterized. The transcript has 2 exons. The record is from RefSeq and is a predicted model, not a curated record. NCBI's taxonomy places the organism in Eukaryota, Metazoa, Chordata, Mammalia, Primates, Cebidae.